RNAcentral lists this transfer RNA (71 nucleotides) under Schistocephalus solidus. The stretch from base 1 to 56 matches the Rfam family "tRNA". Rfam says of the family: Transfer RNA (tRNA) molecules are approximately 80 nucleotides in length. Their secondary structure includes four short double-helical elements and three loops (D, anti-codon, and T loops). Further hydrogen bonds mediate the characteristic L-shaped molecular structure. tRNAs have two regions of fundamental functional importance: the anti-codon, which is responsible for specific mRNA codon recognition, and the 3' end, to which the tRNAs corresponding amino acid is attached (by aminoacyl-tRNA synthetases). tRNAs cope with the degeneracy of the genetic code in two manners: having more than one tRNA (with a specific anti-codon) for a particular amino acid; and 'wobble' base-pairing, i.e. permitting non-standard base-pairing at the 3rd anti-codon position. Lineage: Eukaryota; Metazoa; Platyhelminthes; Cestoda; Diphyllobothriidea; Diphyllobothriidae. The record is from Rfam by way of RNAcentral.
GAACCCGUGGCUCAAUGUUAGAGCGUUUGUCUCAAUAACGAAUGGUCGCGGGUUCGAAUCCCAGGUGUUCG